CACGUAGUUAGCCGGUGCUUCUUUACCCAUUACCGUCACUCACGCUUCGUCACAGGCGAAAGCGGUUUACAACCCGAAGGCCGUCAUCCCGCACGCGGCGUUGCUGCAUCAGGCUUCCGCCCAUUGUGCAAUAUUCCCCACUGCUGCCUCCCGUAGGAGUCAGGGCCGUAUCUCAGUCCCAAUGUGGCCGGUCACCCUCUCAGGCCGGCUACCCGUCAAAGCCUUGGUAAGCCACUACCCCACCAACAAGCUGAUAAGCCGCGAGUCCAUCCCCAACCGCCGAAACUUUCCAACCCCCACCACUGCAGCAGGAGCUCCUAUCCGGUAUUAGCCCCAGUUUCCUGAAGUUAUCCCAAAGUCAAGGGCAGGUUACUCACGUGUUACUCACCCGUUCGCCACUCGAGCACCCACAAAAGCAGGGCCUUUCCGUCGACUUGCAUGUGUUAAGCACGCCGCCAGCGUUCGUCCUGAGCCAGGACUCGAAACCU
Molecule: ribosomal RNA, 488 nt
Filed under: uncultured Propionibacterium sp.
Lineage: Bacteria; Bacillati; Actinomycetota; Actinomycetes; Propionibacteriales; Propionibacteriaceae
Description: partial 16S ribosomal RNA
Source: RNAcentral